Molecule: ribosomal RNA, 468 nt
Filed under: uncultured bacterium
Lineage: Bacteria
Description: partial 16S ribosomal RNA
Rfam family: Bacterial small subunit ribosomal RNA
Source: RNAcentral
GACGAACGCUGGCGGCGUGCUUAACACAUGCAAGUCGAACGGAAAGGCCCUGCUUUUGUGGGGUGCUCGAGUGGCGAACGGGUGAGUAACACGUGAGUAACCUGCCCUUGACUUUGGGAUAACUUCAGGAAACUGGGGCUAAUACCGGAUAGGAGCUCCUGCUGCAUGGUGGGGGUUGGAACGUUUCGGCCGUUGGGGAUGGACUCGCGGCUUAUCAGCUUGUUGGUGGGGUAGUGGCUUACCAAGUCAUGGACGGGUAGCCGGCCUGGGAGGGUGACCGGCCACAAUGGGACUAAGGUACGGCGCAGACUCCUACGGGAGACAGCAGUGGGAAGUAUUGCACAAUGGGCGGGAGCCUGAUGCAGCAGCGCCGCGUGCGGGAUGACGGCCUUCGGGUUGUGAACCGCUUUCGCCUGUGACGAAGCGUGAGUGACGGUAAUGGGUAAAGAAGCACCGGCUAACUACGUG